CGGGUUGUUAAAGCACUUUCAGUCGUGAGGAAGGUAGUGUAGUUAAUAGCUGCAUUAUUUGACGUUAGCGACAGAAGAAGCACCGGCUAACUCCGUGCCAGCAGCCGCGGUAAUACGGAGGGUGCGAGCGUUAAUCGGAAUUACUGGGCGUAAAGCGCAUGCAGGUGGUUUGUUUAAGUCAGAUGUGAAAGCCCGGGGCUCAACCUCGGAAUAGCAUUUGAAACUGGCAGACUAGAGUACUGUAGAGGGGGGUAGGAAUUUCAGGUGUAGCGGUGAAAUGCGUAGAGAUCUGAAGGAAUACCGGUGGCGAAGGCGGCCCCCUGGACAGAUACUGACACUCAGGUACUGCGAAAGCGUGGGGAGCCAAACAGGAUUAGACUACCCUGGUAG
Molecule: ribosomal RNA, 390 nt
Filed under: uncultured bacterium
Lineage: Bacteria
Description: bacterial SSU rRNA
Rfam family: Bacterial small subunit ribosomal RNA
Source: RNAcentral